CACAAUUGCCCAUCCAUGAAUAUGCCCUAACUGCUAUGGCAUCAUCCCCGUUGGCUUUUGCCUUUCUGCUUCUUCGCCUCUCUGCUUGCUAGCCGCUGACAUCUGCGGAGCACCUCCAGCCGGCGCCGCCGACUCCACUGUCCUCUUCCCAGGUUGUAGACGUUUGAGUAAUCAUGAAGGUAAGGUCAUCUGUGAAGAAGAUGUGUGAGUUCUGUCGGACAGUUAAGCGUCGAGGACGUGUAUAUGUGUUAUGUACGGCCAACCCUAAGCACAAGCAAAGACAAGGCAUGUCAACAGUUGCUCAAGCAAUGUCAUCUCAUACCGUGUCCUCAGAGCCAAGUGCCAAGCAGAUUAGUUUUACCAACAGCUCACGUACAGGCCUGGCUUCCCUUCUUCCUCAAAGGCACGGCCUCUCUAUGUUGUAUGGAUGGAGGGUGGGCCUGGCCUCUAUUCUGUCUAAAAGGUAAAACAAACACGGUUAGCGCCUUGGAAUC
Long non-coding RNA from Neltuma alba, 494 nucleotides. RefSeq lists it as uncharacterized. The transcript is spliced from 3 exons. NCBI's taxonomy places the organism in Eukaryota, Viridiplantae, Streptophyta, Magnoliopsida, Fabales, Fabaceae. The record is from RefSeq and is a predicted model, not a curated record.